CCUACGGGAGGCAGCAGUGGGGAAUAUUGGGCAAUGGAGGAAACUCUGACCCAGCAACGCCGCGUGAAUGAUGAAGGUCUUCGGAUUGUAAAGUUCUUUUCUAAGGGAAGAAGAAAGUGACGGUACCUUAGGAAUAAGCCUCGGCUAACUACGUGCCAGCAGCCGCGGUAAUACGUAGGAGGCGAGCGUUAUCCGGAAUGACUGGGCGUAAAGGGUGCGUAGGUGGUUUGGCAAGUUAGUAGCGUAACUCCAAGGCUCAACCUUGGAACUACUACUAAAACUGUUGGACUUGAGUGCAGGAGGGGCAACCGGAAUUCCUGGUGUAGCGGUGGAAUGCGUAGAUAUUAGGAGGAACACCAGUGGCGAAGGCGGGUUGCUGGACUGUAACUGACACUGAGGCACGAAAGCGUGGGGAGCAAACAGGAUUAGAUACCCGAGUAGUC
Molecule: ribosomal RNA, 443 nt
Filed under: uncultured bacterium
Lineage: Bacteria
Description: partial 16S ribosomal RNA
Rfam family: Bacterial small subunit ribosomal RNA
Source: RNAcentral